GCAACGGCGUUGAUGGAGAAAAGUACCGCAGACGUUCCGUCUCAGUGAGCGGGGGGCAGUGGAAACCCCGUACAAAGAAUCUGUGGGAAGAACACUCCGUAGCUGCAAUCUGAACGCGGGCAACCGCCAGUAAGUGCGACGAGUUGUGAUCGUUACAUCACACGGGCUUGUUGGAGCCUUGAAAAGUGGUCCCUUCACGGGGGCAAAUUAGGUGGCACCGCGGAUUGCAGCUAUUCGUCCUAAAA
Molecule: non-coding RNA, 245 nt
Filed under: Oscillibacter sp.
Lineage: Bacteria; Bacillati; Bacillota; Clostridia; Eubacteriales; Oscillospiraceae
Description: T-box sequence
Rfam family: T-box leader
About the family: Uncharged tRNA acts as the effector for transcription antitermination of genes in the T-box leader family. T-boxes are found upstream of many aminoacyl-tRNA synthetase genes and some amino acid biosynthetic genes usually in Gram-positive bacteria.
Source: RNAcentral